UAUCAGGGUGCAUAUUAAUAGAGAUAGAUUCAAGAGAUUUACCAUUUGAUUUUUGCAAAUUCAAUUUCAAAUGUUUAUAUUUUUGUUUGAUAUUAAUUUGAAAUUGUUAUGUUGAGUUACACUACAUAUCAAAAAUAUUGAAGAGUUCUUUUAGGUUAAUACCGGAUCAAGCAGAAUUUAUUUGAUGUACAAGUCAUGUACUGCAGUAUGAUCAAAGCUAUCAGUGUUUAGAGCCAUGUUGUAAAAGUCACACAGAGUUUGCAGAUAUCUAGCACAAAAAAAUUAUACAGCUGUUGUCAUUAUAUAUAAUUCAUUUUAUUGCUAAAUUAAUGUGUUCUUUUGACUUUCAAUAUAUUUUGGACUUUUUAUCAUGUGUAUCUAAUUUUCUAUUUAGCAAGAUAGUAAAGACUUAAUUAUUUUAUAGUUUAAGCCAAGUUUGUUAAAGCAGUAUGCCUCAAGAUUUAUGCAAAUUUUCAUGAAAAUUUUUAAAAUAUGUGUAAACGUAUAAUAAUGUGAAGUGACCAAAAGGAAGCAAUUAGCACCUCAUUAAUUGCACUUACAACUCACGUAAAUUACUAAAAUGAGGUAAAAAUGCAACCAAAAAAAAGCCUUUAAUGUGUUAGUAAUGCAGUAGAAAUAUAGUCAAAAUAUUGAGAAAAAAUCAGUCAUUAACCACAUACAACAUGCCAAUUAUUAUUUAAAUAUUUUUACAUUCCUUAAGUCUAAGUUAUAUUUUUUAAGUUUGAUUUUAUUGAAAUAUUUUGGCUUAUCUGGAGGCAUGUAGCUUAAAUACUGCCACCAUUAAGUCAUAGACUGCACAUUUUUCUCGCCAAAAGCACCAAGCAACAUGAUUUAUGUUCUACCCCUUGUUUUAGUCUUAUUACAUUAAGUACAUUAUGAUGUAGCUUAUUACAUUUUAUACGCCCGUUUGGGGGGGGCGGCGUCCAAUUUUGUCCGGAGCAUAUCUCCUACAUGUAUGGAGGGAUUUUAAUGAAACUUCAUAGAAAUGUUCACCACUAUGAGGAGCAGUGUCGCGCACGUGAACCAGGUCUCUAGGUCAAAGGUCAAGGUCACACUUAGAGCUCAUUGAAAAAUGCUUGUCCGGAGCAAAACUUCCACAUGUAUAGAGGGAUUUCAAUAUUACUUGGCACAAAUGUUCACCAUUGUGAGGCGGAGUGUCGCGCGCAAGAUUCAGGUCCUUGCGGCCAAGGUCAAGGUCACACAUAGAGGUCAAAGUUCAGAUAAAAAUAUGAAGAUGUGUAUAUGGACCAUUUAGUCAUCAUUUAUUGAGGGAUUGUAACACAAAUGGUCAUUAUCAAGACUAUGGCUGUGAUACAUAUAAUUCAGGUCAAUAUAUACAAGGUCAAGGUCACUAAAGAUGAUGAAAUAUCCAGAUUUUGUCCUGAGCAUAUCUCCUACACGCAUGGAGGGAUUUUAAUGAAAUUUCAUAGAAAUGUUCACCAUUAUGAGAAGCCAUGUCACGCACAUGAACUAGGUCUCUAGGUCAAAGGUCACACUUAGAGCUCAUUGAAAAACGCUUGUCUGGAGCAAAACUUCUACAUUCAUAGGGGGAUUUCAAUAUAACUUGGCACAAAUGUUCACCAUUGUGAGGCUGAGUGUCGCACGCAAAAUUCAGAUCCCUGCGACCAAAGUCAAGGUUACAAAUAGAGGUCAAAGUUCAGAUAAAAAUUUAAAGAUGUGUAUAGGGACCAUUUAGUCAUCAUUUAUUGAUGGAUUGUAGCACAAAUGGUAACUAUCAUGACUACAGGUGUGACACAUUUAAUUUAGGUUAAUAUUUGCAAGGUCAAGGUCACUGGAGAUGAUUAAAUAUCCAGAUGUUGUCUGGAGCAUAUUUUCUACAUGCAUGGAGGAAUUUUAAUGUUACUUUAUAGAAUUGUUCACCACCAUGAGACGUAGUGCCCUGCACAUGAACCAAGUCUCUCGGUCAAAGGUGAAGGUCACAGUUAGAGCUCAUAGAAAAACGCUUGUCUGGAGCAAAACUUCUACAUGCAUAGAGGGAUUUCAAUAUAAUUUGGCACAAAUGUUCAUCAUUGUGAGGCUGAGUGCCGUGCAUAAAAUUCAGGUCCCUGCGACCAAGGUCAAGGUCACACAUCCUGUGCAUAUCUUCCCUACUGAUUUGUUUUAAGGUUCAUUUAACAACACAGUGCCAAGAAUAAAAACUUGCUUGCUAGAUAACACUUAUCCAUAAUGCCCCCAUCUCCAUCUAAAGCUUUCGUAAACGGGAGUAUUUUGUGACUAUGGCACCCUUGUUAUGAGUUUAAAAUAUUAUGUGAAAUUUUAAUUUUAUUUUCUAUUUGUUGUAAUGUGAACUUGCUCUAAGUGGUUCUUCUGGUUAUUUUAUUUCAGUGUCAAGUGUGUAGAUCAUUUUCAUUUGUGUAAAUAAUAUGUUGCCUGCUGAACUAAAUAAAAGAGUAAAAGGUU
Long non-coding RNA from Ruditapes philippinarum (Manila clam), 2442 nucleotides. RefSeq lists it as uncharacterized. The record is from RefSeq and is a predicted model, not a curated record. The transcript has 2 exons. Lineage: Eukaryota; Metazoa; Mollusca; Bivalvia; Venerida; Veneridae.